GACGAACGCUGGCGGCGUGCCUAAUACAUGCAAGUUGAGCGCUGAAGGUUGGUACUUGUACCAACUGGAUGAGCAGCGAACGGGUGAGUAACGCGUGGGGAAUCUGCCUUUGAGCGGGGGACAACAUUUGGAAACGAAUGCUAAUACCGCAUAAAAACUUUAAACACAAGUUUUAAGUUUGAAAGAUGCAAUUGCAUCACUCAAAGAUGAUCCCGCGUUGUAUUAGCUAGUUGGUGAGGUAAAGGCUCACCAAGGCGAUGAUACAUAGCCGACCUGAGAGGGUGAUCGGCCACAUUGGGACUGAGACACGGCCCAAACUCCUACGGGAGGCAGCAGUAGGGAAUCCUCGGCAAUAGACGAAAGUCUGACCGAGCAACGCCGCGUGAGUGAAGAAGGUUUUCGGAUCGUAAAACUCUGUUGGUAGAGAAGAACGUUGGUGAGAGUGGAAAGCUCAUCAAGUGACGGUAACUACCCAGAAAGGGACGGCUAACUACGUG
Molecule: ribosomal RNA, 497 nt
Filed under: uncultured bacterium
Lineage: Bacteria
Description: partial 16S ribosomal RNA
Rfam family: Bacterial small subunit ribosomal RNA
Source: RNAcentral